RNAcentral lists this transfer RNA (62 nucleotides) under Marmota marmota marmota (Alpine marmot). It matches the Rfam family "tRNA". Rfam says of the family: Transfer RNA (tRNA) molecules are approximately 80 nucleotides in length. The record is from Rfam by way of RNAcentral. RNAcentral also lists the same sequence under 4 other names. Lineage: Eukaryota; Metazoa; Chordata; Mammalia; Rodentia; Sciuridae.
GGGGUUGUAGCUUAGUGGUAGAGCACUUGCCUAGCAUGUAUGAGGUCAUAAAUUCAAUCCCU